This 497-nucleotide ribosomal RNA is filed under the name uncultured bacterium. RNAcentral describes it as "partial 16S ribosomal RNA". It matches the Rfam family "Bacterial small subunit ribosomal RNA", at positions 28 to 507 of the family's 1533-position model. The record is from RNAcentral.
GAUGAACGCUGGCGGCGUGCCUAAUACAUGCAAGUCGAGCGAACAGAUAAGGAGCUUGCUCCUUUGACGUUAGCGGCGGACGGGUGAGUAACACGUGGGUAACCUACCUAUAAGACUGGAAUAACUCCGGGAAACCGGGGCUAAUGCCGGAUAACAUUUAGAACCGCAUGGUUCUAAAGUGAAAGAUGGUUUUGCUAUCACUUAUAGAUGGACCCGCGCCGUAUUAGCUAGUUGGCAAGGUAACGGCUUACCAAGGCAACGAUACGUAGCCGACCUGAGAGGGUGAUCGGCCACACUGGAACUGAGACACGGUCCAGACUCCUACGGGAGGCAGCAGUAGGGAAUCUUCCGCAAUGGGCGAAAGCCUGACGGAGCAACGCCGCGUGAGUGAUGAAGGUCUUCGGAUCGUAAAACUCUGUUAUUAGGGAAGAACAAAUGUGUAAGUAACUGUGCACGUCUUGACGGUACCUAAUCAGAAAGCCACGGCUAACUACGUG